RNAcentral lists this ribosomal RNA (253 nucleotides) under uncultured bacterium. Its description in RNAcentral is "partial 16S ribosomal RNA". It matches the Rfam family "Bacterial small subunit ribosomal RNA", at positions 524 to 776 of the family's 1533-position model. The record is from RNAcentral.
UACGUAGGCAGCGAGCGUUGUUCGGAGUUACUGGGCGUAAAGAGUGCGUAGGCGGUUUUCUAAGUUUGGUGUGAAAUCUCCCGGCUUAACUGGGAGGGUGCGCCGAAGACUGGAAGGCUUGAGUAUGGGAGAGGUAAGCGGAAUUCCUGGUGUAGCGGUGAAAUGCGUAGAUAUCAGGAGGAACACCUGCGGUGUAGACGGCUUACUGGACCAUAACUAACGCUGAGGCACGAAAGCGUGGGUAGCAAACAGG